Molecule: long non-coding RNA, 2096 nt
Filed under: Salvia miltiorrhiza (redroot sage)
Lineage: Eukaryota; Viridiplantae; Streptophyta; Magnoliopsida; Lamiales; Lamiaceae
Description: long non-coding RNA (SMIL_LNC007436)
Source: RNAcentral
UUUCAAUCUUUAUCUCUUUCUCUAAAUUUUAAUUAUUAUUAUGUAUUUGAUCAACAUCACAAUUAUUAACAAAUUAUAGAUAGACUCAAAUUCUUAGAUAAAUCCUAUCAAAGGUAGAAUUCUUUCUCAAAUUGACAAUCUUAUAUUUCAUCUAUAAAAAGAACCGGUUCUCCUUUCUUUCUCCUAUUCUGCUUUCUUUCUCCACUGAUCGGUUCUGCUUUGUUUCUCCUGUUCUGCUUUCGGUAAGUUGAAGUUUAUGCUUUGUUUCUCCUGUUCUGCUUUCGGUAAGUUGAAGUUUAUGCUCCCUUAUUUAUUUAGCCCGUCGAAAUUCGUUGAUGUAUUUAUAAAGUGCGUAGAAUUGUGUGAAUCUGAUUUUAAUGGAAACAAGUAUAUUUUGUUGAUUUCUGGAGGCAGCAAAAUCUAUUGUCCUUACUAAUAUAGAUUAUCUAUUUAUUAGUCUACGUAAUGACAAUAUUUUCCUCUUUCUGAAUUAAUAUUUUGUGGAUCAGUGUGUGUUUUUGUUGCCAUUUUUUAUGUAUCAUAAUUUGUUGUUUCUCGUGUUCUGAUGAGUAGAGAUGUUGGAUUUGGCAAUUGCUUAAGAGGGGAUGGGGAUUUUCUUUUCCCAUAUAAGCAUAUGUUGAGAGGACAGCUCCGGCUAUCUACUUUACUGAUCAGACCAUUAUGAAUUGAUAAUCUGCAGAAACUAUUAUUAGAAUAUGUGGUUUGAUGAUUUAGAGGAGUCGAGCUUGAACUGUGAAAACUUUUAGUUGGUGGAUUUUAUAUACUCAUAUUUGUUGGAUUAAAUUAAAAAAGUUCACACAACGCCAAAAACUAUUUAUGCUAGCUUCUUUCUGCUCACCUUUUAUAUGCUUGCCUUAUUUGUGGGUGUGAAAUCAUCUGCUGUCUUCAGUAAAAACAUGCAAAUAUUACAUUGUAUAAUUACAGCAUUAAGUGACAUUUAUGUCUGUCUUUUUCCUUUGCAAAAUAAUUUUCUGCAUAAUAUUUGAUAAUUUAUUUACUUACUCUAAAUAUAGGAAAUGUCAACGAAUAAUGAAGCUAUUCCUUUGAAUGCCAUCAAGGAAAAAAUACGAAAUAAAUACGUGGUUGUCAGACUUUUACGCUUAUGGGUUCAAAAAGAUAAAUUGGGCAAGGAAGGACUUGAAAUGAUCGUGAUUGAUGAAUGGGUAAGUCUUAUCACAAUUUUAUUUAAUAAAUAGUUUUGUAAAAUUAUUCAUUUUCAAUUUAUGCUAUCUAAUAACAUAUUUUUAUUAUGUAGGGCAACAAAAUUCAAGCAUCCGUCUCAACAGGGAACAAGAAUAAGUUUCAUGAGUUACUUAAAGAGGGACAAAUAACAGUUAUUAAAAACUUCCAAGUAGUGAAAAACAAUCCUAACUUUCAGCAUGCAAAAAUCAAUCAUGAGUGGAAAAUCAGUUUUACCUUUAGAACCAUUGUUUCUGAAUCAACUGAACGCCCGAAUAUUACUGAAAAUGGAUUUGAUUUCAUCCAUUUUCAAAAUAUUCAUUCACAUGAUCAAGAAUUGGUAUUGGGUAAGUAUAACAUAUUAUAGAAAAAAAAUAUUUUAUUAUAUAAUUUCCUAAUAUUAGUUUUGAUUGUGUAUUGUAGAUAUUCUUGGGGAGAUAAAAACUGAAAAUAUUACCAUAGAUUGUGUUGAAAUGAAGCAUGGCAAAGCUAAGAAGUGUGACAUAACAUUGGCUGAUGCAGAGUAAGUUUCUAAAUCUUUCAUUUAAUAAUGAUUAGUAUUUCAAAUUUUAUUUUAAAUUAUUGUUUUAAUUAUAUAUGUAACAGUGGCACACAAGUAAUUUGCGUAUUGUGGGAAUCAUAUGCCGAUGAACUCAAAAUAUUCAUGGAAAGCAGAUCAAGCGAGGAUAAAGAACCAGUAAUGAUAGCUUUACAAUUUGCUAUGUUAUCAACAUUCAGAGGUAGUUAUUAAUCAUUUACAAUACUCAUUUAUUAAAAUAUAACUAAAUAAACUUUAAGCAGCGUUACUAAUAAUUUAAAUGUUAUUUUAGGUGUAACCAAAGUUUCCACAAUGAAGCACGCAACCAGAUUUUUUAUCAGCCCUGAUAUACAAGAAG